GGUCAUACCCAUGGCAUAUGGAAGUUCCCAGGCUAGGGUUGAAUCAGAGCUACAGCUGCCAGCCUGCACCACAACCCCAGCAACAUGGAAUCUGAGCUGCAUCUGCAACCUAUACCACAGCUAAGGGCAAUGCUGGAACCCCGACCCACUCAGUGAGGCCAGGGAUCAAACCUGCACCCUCAUGGAUAUGAGUUGGAUUCUUUUCCGCUGCACCACAAUGGGAACUCCCAGUAUAUAAUAUAUAAUAUUUCAAACAUUUUUCUAUGGUUGUACUUUUAUUUCCAAUUUCUCACUGUUUUAAUACCACCACAAAUACCCGUGUGUAUAAGUCUUUGACAUGUCUGUUUACUUCCCUAGGAUGAAAUUCUCCAAAGUAGUAUGACUAGGUCAAGGAGCAUUAAGCAGAAUUCUGAUUCAUAUUUUUGCUGGCAUUUCUUGAAGGGUAACAUUUCCCUAGAAUAUUUGCUAUAAGAAGUCAAAAGUGAGCCAUUAAUGAACAGACAACACUGAUACGAAAAAAGUAUUUCAAAGAAAUAAAAGUACACGACUUCUUGAAGCAUAAACCAUACCGAGGGGUUAACCAGUUUGUUUUUGCUGUUGUUUGUGUGUUUUACAAAUGAAAACCUAUUGCUAUGCCCUACUGCUAGAGUUAAUCUGCAAAUCCAGAAAUCUGGACUAAUGGGACACAGCAGCUUAGGAACACCCCUCACAGGACAACUGCAUCAUCAACACAACACCGUGUGAUGUACACAUUCCAAUUUCACUCUUAAAAACCUUCUGAGGUGGUUGCUUUGUGCAAUACCAUAAAAUGUUAAGUAGGCACAAGAAUAUGAAGACAUGAUCACAUGGAGCCAGGAGCCAGGUCUUGAUGCAGCUGAAGCCUUGAAGACAUAGUCUCACAGCCUUGCUGACAGGGAAAGAUGUGGUCCAUCUAAAGGAUCCACUGUGGCAGGGUGAAGUGCAGAAGAGCUUAACGUGCUACCACCCAGCCAUAUGUUCGCUGGAUUUACAAGUUGACGGGACCAUAAGUAGCCAUUGGGUUCAAAGAGCCCUCUCACGAGGAGUCCUAGAAACGACCAAUGCAGCUGCUAAAGCACAAAGCAGUUCCUGUUUCUUUCAAAAUGCCUACAACACAAUGGGCCAGGCAGGACUCAUUUGCUCCAAAGCACUGGAGGAAAUAAAAUCAUGUAAGACCAAGAACCUGGGAGAUUGGGGGGGGUGUAUCUUUAUUUUUUUAGGUUUGUUUUUAUUUGGUAUAUGUUGCCCAACAGUUCCAUGAUUGAAUCCUACUUCCCAUUUACUAUAAUAAAUCCAUAUUGGUUCAACUUCUGUCUUGAUUGUGUUGACAUUAUGGCACUAAAAAGAUGAUGAACAUGCUGAGAUAACACAGUCAUUAGCCCAGUUAAAUGCUAUGUUGUCUUACAAAACUCUUCACUGUGCUUUUACCACUCAUAAUAGUUUUGCAGAUUUGCCCACUGAGCCAUCCAACCAAUACUAAAACACAUCCUAUGGAAAAGCAAACUGGUGUCAUGUCACCUUAGCGGUGGUUCAAAAAGUAAGAAAACUGAACCAAGAAAUUAAAGCAGAAUGGCUAUGAGGUUAUUUCAAAUGUGGAAAAGGCUUAUAAACCAAAAUUCCAACUCCUGCUUUAAGAUUAUCGGGUCCCUUAGUAAGCUUAUGCAAUGAUGUGUUAAAUUGUUUGAGCACCAAGGAUGCAUGAAGAGAGUUUAUAAUGAGUUAGGCACAGCCCCAGAUACAACAGCAUUCUGAUGCUGAACAGAGAGAAAAAAAAUAUCCUUUACUGAAACUCAGGAAUUAAAAUAAACACAAGUGGCCAUUCUAACUGAAAAAACAGGAAAGUAUUUGUUUAUUUUUAAGCAUAUAAUUUAUUUACUUUAUUACUCUAACUUAUAUGCAAUAUCCUGACUGGGCAAGGUUAACAAAAAAAUUAUCCCUUAAGUGAUAUGCUUUAGUGAACAGAAAAGAAGUUUAAUCAUUGCCCUCCCCCCAUAAAUUUGUUUAUAAGCCUAACAACACACUUUCUUUAUAAGGAAGGAGGGUGAGAAAUCUAGCCAUGUGUCCAAAUGAUUCAAUCUGAAAUGAGUGAAAUCAGUAUCAAUAAUUCCAAGUGCCUCAAUCAAUAGUAUAGCAUACAACAAGAACAAGCUCCUGUGUGUAUGGUGUUCUCACUUUGACUGCGGAAGAAGGGUGGGCUAGUGAUGAUGGAGGUCGUGGAGAAGGCAGGCCAACAAAGGAAAGGAAGCAGUAGAAAGGGGAGAAUAAGAGGGAAAGGAUAUAUUUGCAGUCACAUGUCUCCAGGAAAGUAAUUCAAAUCUAGUAUUAAAGUAAGUGUCACAGAUUGACCAACCACAACUAUUGACCUUCUUUCUCCCAGGGUACUACAAAGAAAGGGGAAUUAAUGAAAUCAAGAUUCUUUACUGCUCACCUGCCAUAAACUUAAAGUGACUCUGGACAAAGCUGAGUUAGUACACCUCCAGCAUAGUGACUGUAAGCAUGGGCUCAAGACCUAGACGGCCUAGAUUAGAAUCCUGGCUCUGCCACUCCCCAGGAACAAAGUAUUUUACCUUUCUGUGCCUCAGGUUCUCACCUGAAAAAUAAUAGUACCUAUGUCAUAGGGUGGUUGAAAAGAUGUAAAUAGAGUUUUAUAAACAUAAUACACUUAAAACAGUAUCUGGCACAUAAUAAAAGCUAUAUGAGUGUUGGACAUUAUUAUGACGAUCUGUGUUGUCGCAUGCUCCAGCCUCUAAAAAAAAAAAAAAAUGUUGAUGAAAGUUUUUUCCUCUCAUAGCCUACAGAUUGUGAUCAUCAUUCAAUCCCUUCAAGCCUAAGGUUUCCCGAUCAAAAAUGUCAGUUGUUUGAGCUUCACGUUACUGGUAACAUGAUGGAUUUACUCAUUCCAGAGGAAAAUGUCCAUGUGAUAAUCUGGAUAUGAUUAAUAUGAAAUCAGUAUGUUAUCCUGUUACUAGUAGUUUCACUGAAACCCCUCGCUAUCCAUCCUAUUCAAACUAAAUCUCAUGCUAAGCUGUUUUAAAAAACAGCCUUACUGAGAUAUAAUUUACGUACCAUAAAGAUCACCUAUUUAACAUUUAAUUCAAUGUUCCUUCCCAUGUUUACAGCAUUGUGCAAUCUUCACCAUUAACUUAAUUUUAGAAUAUUUUCAUCCCUAAACAAAACCUUUUACCCGUUAAGCAAUUCCUUCCAAUUUACCCCCACCCCUAGGCAACCACUAAUUUACUGUCUUUAUGGAUCUGCCUAUUCUGGACAUUUAACUGGAAAUAUAUAAUAUGUGGCCUUUUGCAUCUGACUUCUUGCAUUUAGCAUGUUUUCAAGGUUCAUCCGUGUUGUAAUAAUGUGUCAGCACUUCACACCCUUUAUGGCUGAAUACUAGCCCAUUGUACACCAUACUUGUUUAUCUGUUCAUCUGCUGAUGGACAUCUGGGUUGUUUCCACCUUUUAAUGAUUGUGAAUAAUGCUGAAUGAACAUUGGUAUACAAGUAUCUGUUUGAGUCCCUGUUUUCAACUCCUUUUAGUAUAUACAUAGGAGAAGAAUUCCUGAGUCAUAUGGUAAUUCUAUAUUUAGCUUUGGAAGAAUUGCCUAUCUUCCUAAGGGAACUUCACCAUUUUACAAAUUCUACAGCAAUUUAUGAGAGUUCCAGUUUCUUCAUAUCCUCACAAUUCUUGCUAUUGUCUGUCUUUUUGAUACGCUGGCUUUUUUCUCCUUUUUAUCAUUUAUUUAUAUAUAUAUAUUUUUUCUACUAUACAGCAUGGUGACCCAUUACACUUACAUGUAUACAUUGUUUUUUCUUACAUUACAUGUGGGCAUAUAUCCAGAUAAAACUCUCCUUAAAAAAGACACAUGCACCCGCAUGUUCAUUGUUGCACUAUUCACAAUAGCCAAGACAUGGAAACAACCCAAAUGUCCAUUGAUAUAUGAUUGGAUCAGGAAGAUGUGGUAUACAUGCACAAUGGAAUACUACUCGGCCAUGAAAAAGAACAAAAUAAUGCCAUUUGCAGCAACAUGGAUGGAACUAGAUAUGCUGGCUUUUUACCUGGAAAAAUAAUUGUUUCUCUCCAAAAUCAGUGGUGCAUGCUCAUCUUAGUGUUACCCUUUCAUACUGAGCAUUUUAAAAAAAUCAAUAGACUUAAUUUUUUAGAACAGUUUAGAUUUAUAGAUAAAUUGAGCAGACAAUACAGAGACUGUCUUGUUUUGUUCUUUGACAAACAAGAUUUCAACCAAGGUCCUUAUUCCCUUUCAAGAUUGUUUCCUUGUACUCAAUGACUCUGAAAGAUUUCCCUUCUCAAUCUACCUUCAAAAGACACUGGCAGAUCAAUUUCAUAUCUGAUGUACCCCCUGAAAAGUUAUUUUUCAAUCAAAAAUUGCAAUUCAAAUAUACAACAGAAAGCUCUUACUUCAGGGAACUGUAUGGUGAAUAUUUUUGUGAAACACUGGUUUCUUCAUACAUAUGAAAUAAUCUCCUCCAUAUGUCACAUGGCAAGAGGUAGACCCUCACUUCCUCGCUAAAGCACAUUUACUGUAGCCUAUUCCACUCUAGAAAUGGGUUGAUUCUUAAUGAUA
Molecule: long non-coding RNA, 4597 nt
Filed under: Sus scrofa (pig)
Lineage: Eukaryota; Metazoa; Chordata; Mammalia; Artiodactyla; Suidae
Description: lncRNA (ENSSSCG00040038511.1)
Source: RNAcentral